RNAcentral lists this ribosomal RNA (164 nucleotides) under uncultured bacterium. RNAcentral's name for it is "partial 16S rRNA". It matches the Rfam family "Bacterial small subunit ribosomal RNA", at positions 355 to 511 of the family's 1533-position model. The record is from RNAcentral.
UAGGGAAUCUUCCACAAUGGGCGCAAGCCUGAUGGAGCAACGCCGCGUGUGUGAUGAAGGCUUUCGGGUCGUAAAGCACUGUUGUAUGGGAAGAAAUGCUAGAAUAGGGAAUGAUUCUAGUUCGACGGUACCAUGCCAGAAAGGGACGGCUAAAUACUUGCAAG